This 1578-nucleotide ribosomal RNA is filed under the name human gut metagenome. RNAcentral describes it as "bacterial LSU rRNA". It matches the Rfam family "Bacterial large subunit ribosomal RNA", at positions 829 to 2317 of the family's 2925-position model. The record is from RNAcentral.
CCAAUCGAACUCGGAGAUAGCUGGUUCUCCUCGAAAUAGCUUUAGGGCUAGCGUCGUGUUAGUAGCACAUGGGGGUAGAGCUCUGUAAAGGACUGGGGCGGGCAACUGUACCCACCCUUAACAAACUACGAAUACCAUGUGUGUAAUCACGGCAGUUAGAACAUCGGUGCUAAGAUCGGUGCUCAAAAGGGAAACAGCCCAGACCAUCAUCUAAGGUCCCUAAAUUAACGUUCAGUGGGAAACAAGGUGAGAUUUCUUAAACAGCUAGGAUGUUGGCUUAGAAGCAGCCAUUCAUUUAAAGAGUGCGUAACAGCUCACUAGUCAAGAGAUUUUGCGUGGAAAAUGUAACGGGGCUAAAGUGUUAAACCGAAGACAUGGACUUCAUAUUUUAUGGAGUGGUAGAGGAGCGUUGAUAUCGCAGUGAAGUCAGAUUGUAAAGUCUGGUGGAGCGUUAUCAAGUGAGAAUGCUGGAAUCAGUAACCUUAAGACAGGUGAGAAUCCUGUCGGUCGUAAGAGCAAGGUUUCCAGGGCUACAGUAAUUGUCCCUGGGUUAGUCGGUCCUAAGCCGAGGCGUAUCAGCGUAGGCGAUGGACAACAGGUUAAUAUUCCUGUACAGGUAGUAGUUGUUAACAGUUCACGGUGAGAGACUAGAGCGGAUUAAUGGUUUAUCCGUCCAAGUCUCUAGGGAACUAGAGAUGAGUGAAAGGUAAUCUUCGGAUUAUUAAUUCCGGGUGAAGCACUGGCUAGAAAAGCUGGUUCACUUAUGCUGCUGCCUACCGUACCGCAAACCAACACCGGUGCUCGGGUCGAGUAGACCAAGACCUACGUGAGAACCUUCGCUAAGGAACUCGGCAAAAAAGCGUCCGUAACUUCGGAAUAAGGACUGCCCUCUCAUUAAGAUGAGGAUUUGCUAGAAACUUGGUGGAAACAUAAGGUUAAUAGUAUUUACCUAAUAAUUUAACCAAAUUUUUCGUCAAGACAGAACACAUCAGGAAAUAUCCUGUGAUAUCUUUUCUAGUAACUCAAUCGUCAUUUUGAUGAGAGGGUCGCAGCUAAAGAGCCCACGGAACUGUUUAACAAAAACAUAGGUCUCUGCUAACGCGAAAGCGGAUGUAUAGGGGCUGACUCCUGCCCGGUGUCGGAAGGUUAAGGGGAGAGCUUUACGGUUCGAACUGAAGCCCCGAUGAACGGCGGCGAUAACUAUGAUCGUCCUAAGGUAGCGAAAUUCCUUGUCUGGUAAGUUCAGACCCGCACGAAUGGAGUAAUCAUGUGGGCACUGUCUCGGCGAAGGCCACGGUGAACGUGCAUUGGCGGUAAAGAUGCCGUCUGAUCAUGCCAGGACGAGAAGACCCCAUGGAGCUUUACUACAACUUUGCAUUGAUUAUUGGGACAUUUUGUGUAGAAUAGGUGGAAGACUUUGAAGCAGAUACGCUAGUAUUUGUGGAGUCGAAAUGUGAAAUACCACCCUGAAUGUUUUAGUAAUCUCACUUUUGACCUUAUCGGCCAAGAGGACCGUGCAUGGCGGGUAGUUUAACUGGGGCGGUUGCCUCCUAAAGAGUAGCGGAGGCGUUCAAAGGU